GACGGAGGGGGCUAGCGUUGUUCGGAAUUACUGGGCGUAAAGCGCGCGUAGGCGGUUUUCUAAGUUGGGUGUGAAAGCCCGGGGCUUAACCCCGGAAAUGCGCCCAAGACUGGAAGACUGGAGUCCGGGAGAGGUGAGUGGAACUCCCAGUGUAGAGGUGAAAUUCGUAGAUAUUGGGAAGAACACCAGUGGCGAAGGCGGCUCACUGGACCGGUACUGACGCUGAGGCGCGAAAGCGUGGGGAGCAAACAGG
Molecule: ribosomal RNA, 253 nt
Filed under: uncultured bacterium
Lineage: Bacteria
Description: partial 16S ribosomal RNA
Rfam family: Bacterial small subunit ribosomal RNA
Source: RNAcentral